UACGGGGGGGGCAAGCGUUGUUCGGAAUUACUGGGCGUAAAGGGCUCGUAGGCGGUCAACUAAGUCGGACGUGAAAUCCCCAGGCUCAACCUGGGAACUGCGUCCGAUACUGGAUGGCUUGAAUUCGGGAGAGGGAUGCAGAAUUCCAGGUGUAGCGGUGAAAUGCGUAGAUAUCUGGAGGAAUACCGGUGGCGAAGGCGGCAUCCUGGACCGACAUUGACGCUGAGGAGCGAAAGCUAGGGGAGCAAACGGG
Molecule: ribosomal RNA, 253 nt
Filed under: uncultured bacterium
Lineage: Bacteria
Description: partial 16S ribosomal RNA
Rfam family: Bacterial small subunit ribosomal RNA
Source: RNAcentral